AUUACGCUCACAGUCCCAUUAAGCUCUUAAUAAUUUUCCAAAAAUGCAUAAAAAAAUGUUUCCCAUGAGAGAGCGCAUCAAAAAUAAGGUUGCUAGGGGGUUACUGGCAGUUGGUGGUUUAGUUAUCUACAGUCAAAUAGUUCUAAAAAUUUUCUGUGAACAUGAGCCGCCAUCUUUGAAUUUACUGUUGCCACCUUCAAAGCCAAUGCUGUCACCUGUAAACCAAGUGCUGCCACCUUUAAACCAAGUGCUGCCACCUUUACACUCAAUAAAGGCCAAAAACAUCGGCAAUAAUGAUAUUGAAAU
Long non-coding RNA from Eurytemora carolleeae, 306 nucleotides. RefSeq lists it as uncharacterized. The record is from RefSeq and is a predicted model, not a curated record. NCBI's taxonomy places the organism in Eukaryota, Metazoa, Arthropoda, Copepoda, Calanoida, Temoridae. The transcript has 3 exons.